AGUGAACGCUGGCGGUAGGCCUAACACAUGCAAGUCGAACGGCAGCACAGUAAGAGCUUGCUCUUACGGGUGGUGAGUGGCGGACGGGUGAGGAAUACAUCGGAAUCUACUUUUUCGUGGGGGAUAACGUAGGGAAACUUACGCUAAUACCGCAUACGACCUACGGGUGAAAGUAGGGGAUCUUCGGACCUUGCGCGAUUGAAUGAGCCGAUGUCGGAUUAGCUAGUUGGCGGGGUAAAGGCCCACCAAGGCGACGAUCCGUAGCUGGUCUGAGAGGAUGAUCAGCCACACUGGAACUGAGACACGGUCCAGACUCCUACGGGAGGCAGCAGUGGGGAAUAUUGGACAAUGGGCGCAAGCCUGAUCCAGCCAUACCGCGUGGGUGAAGAAGGCCUUCGGGUUGUAAAGCCCUUUUGUUGGGAAAGAAAAGCAGCAGGUUAAUACCCCGCUGUUCUGACGGUACCCAAAGAAUAAGCACCGGCUAACUUCGUG
Molecule: ribosomal RNA, 492 nt
Filed under: uncultured bacterium
Lineage: Bacteria
Description: partial 16S ribosomal RNA
Rfam family: Bacterial small subunit ribosomal RNA
Source: RNAcentral